Non-coding RNA from Microcebus murinus (gray mouse lemur), 871 nucleotides. NCBI's taxonomy places the organism in Eukaryota, Metazoa, Chordata, Mammalia, Primates, Cheirogaleidae. The record is from RefSeq and is a predicted model, not a curated record.
GCGGGGCUGGGGACGGGCUGCCCGCCAGAGAUGACACUGCUCGGGCUCCUUGCGGCGGGCUCUGCCCGGGUCACCGGCCGAGGCAGACGGGUGCGGCGAAGGCUGGCCAGUCACUGCCGAGCCUCGGCCUCAGGGCACCGUCCUGGGGGCUCUCGUGAGGACACGGCGGGGCCUCGGCCUCGCCAGGCGGAGGGAUCCGCGCGUCCAGGAAACACGGCGGGGCGCCGGGCCCGCAGGCGAGGAAGCGGGGCCCUCCGGGCCGCGUCUCAGGAGCGCCACGAGUCCCUAACUGAAGCCCCUGCGCUUUGGCAUCGUUGACAGACGUGUGGCCUUUGCCCUGACGAGUGGAAGGAGUUAAAGAAACUUGCUCACAGCAACAGGCGGAGUCAGGACUCGCGCCCAAGCAGUCCGAAUUCACUCCGUGCCCUCCGCCCUCGCGUACGGCCUCUGACCUCACGCCGGGUGCGCGUGCGCGUGCGCGGCGCGGCGCGGCGCGUCGAGCAGAAGCUCCCUCCUGGCUAGCAGCCCUGCGCCGACCCGCCGUGCUUCACCUGAGCCGCGCACAAGCGCAAGAUUGAUGGAUUCGAGAUUUAGCUCUUCUCCAGCCCAGCCUAUGCUGCUGAUUUUCUGAUUAACAGUAAAAUGCUUCAUUGCUGACAGGACAUUCUCUCAAAAGAUUAAGGGGAAAAAUCUAAUUAAUAUCCUUUCAGGCUGCUUUAACCACAACUCACUUCUAGUUCACAACUGGAAAAUAACUGGAAAGGAAGAAUGCAAUGACAUAUCCGGAAACACACAGCAUAGAAAGUGUGCACUUCACCCAGAGUUUUCAAGAGAUGAGAUCUCAUAUGUUGCCCAGAUUGGUCUCCAACUC